Molecule: ribosomal RNA, 214 nt
Filed under: uncultured prokaryote
Description: partial 16S ribosomal RNA
Rfam family: Bacterial small subunit ribosomal RNA
Source: RNAcentral
GACAGAGGAUGCAAGCGUUAUCCGGAAUGAUUGGGCGUAAAGCGUCUGUAGGUGGCUUUUUAAGUCUGCUGUCAAAUCCCAGGGCUUAACCCUGGACAGGCGGUGGAAACUACCAAGCUGGAGUACGGUAGGGGCAGAGGGAAUUCCCGGUGUAGCAGUGAAAUGCGUAGAGAUCGGGAGGAACACCAGUGGCGAAGGCGGCUACCUGGACCAG